UACGAAGGGGGCUAGCGUUGCUCGGAAUCACUGGGCGUAAAGGGCGCGUAGGCGGACUUUUAAGUCGGGGGUGAAAGCCCAGGGCUCAACCCUGGAAUUGCCUUCGAUACUGAGAGUCUUGAGUUCGGAAGAGGUUGGUGGAACUGCGAGUGUAGAGGUGAAAUUCGUAGAUAUUCGCAAGAACACCAGUGGCGAAGGCGGCCAGCUGGUCCGAUACUGACGCUGAGGCGCGAAAGCGAGGGGAGCAAACAGG
This 253-nucleotide ribosomal RNA is filed under the name uncultured bacterium. RNAcentral describes it as "partial 16S ribosomal RNA". It matches the Rfam family "Bacterial small subunit ribosomal RNA", at positions 524 to 776 of the family's 1533-position model. The record is from RNAcentral.